GCCGGUAUAGCUCAGUUGGUAGAGCACCUGACUUGUAAUCAGGUGGUCGCGAGUUCGAGUCCCGCUGCCGGCACCA
Molecule: transfer RNA, 76 nt
Filed under: Pseudomonas nitroreducens
Lineage: Bacteria; Pseudomonadati; Pseudomonadota; Gammaproteobacteria; Pseudomonadales; Pseudomonadaceae
Description: tRNA-Thr
Rfam family: tRNA
About the family: Transfer RNA (tRNA) molecules are approximately 80 nucleotides in length.
Source: RNAcentral